GAGGGUACAGCUCAGUAGUAAAGAGUGUGCCUAGCAAGCACGAGGCCCUGGGUUAAAUCCCCAAUACCUCCA
RNAcentral lists this transfer RNA (72 nucleotides) under Camelus ferus (Wild Bactrian camel). It matches the Rfam family "tRNA". Rfam says of the family: Transfer RNA (tRNA) molecules are approximately 80 nucleotides in length. Their secondary structure includes four short double-helical elements and three loops (D, anti-codon, and T loops). Lineage: Eukaryota; Metazoa; Chordata; Mammalia; Artiodactyla; Camelidae. The record is from Rfam by way of RNAcentral.